GUUAUCAAUGAAUUUCGAAAUGAUUCAUCCCUCGGAGAACUCGCCAAUUUGUAUUGAACUCGUAAGUUCAAACAGAUGGUGGAAAGUUCUCGGGGCGUGGGCACUAUCGUACUCUAUUUUGGGAGGUCCCGUUUCUCUGGUUUCCGUAUCUCGACCUCCUCCUUCGACCUUGAUGACGUCACUAAGAGACGUCUGUCCAACCCAACGACAAUUUAUGCAUAAGUAACAAAAAGGCUAAUGUGAAGGAAAAAUAAAUACGGUUAUUUUCCUUCACAUUAAACUUCUUCCUUUCAUUUUAGAGGGUG
Molecule: long non-coding RNA, 305 nt
Filed under: Androctonus crassicauda
Lineage: Eukaryota; Metazoa; Arthropoda; Arachnida; Scorpiones; Buthidae
Source: RNAcentral